GGUAUCAGAAGUGCGAAUGCUGACAUAAGUAACGAUAAAGCGGGUGAAAAGCCCGCUCGCCGGAAGACCAAGGGUUCCUGUCCAACGUUAAUCGGGGCAGGGUGAGUCGACCCCUAAGGCGAGGCCGAAAGGCGUAGUCGAUGGGAAACGGGUUAAUAUUCCCGUACUUGGUGUUACUGCGAAGGGGGGACGGAGAAGGCUAUGUUGGCCGGGCGACGGUUGUCCCGGUUUAAGCGUGUAGGUGUGUGUUCCAGGUAAAUCCGGUUCACUUUAACACUGAGGCGUGACGACGAGGCACUACGGUGCUGAAGCAACAAAUGCCCUGCUUCCAGGAAAAGCCUCUAAGCAUCAGGUAACAUCAAAUCGUACCCCAAACCGACACAGGUGGUCAGGUAGAGAAUACCAAGGCGCUUGAGAGAACUCGGGUGAAGGAACUAGGCAAAAUGGUGCCGUAACUUCGGGAGAAGGCACGCUGACACGUAGGUGAAGUGAUUUACUCAUGGAGCUGAAGUCAGUCGAAGAUACCAGCUGGCUGCAACUGUUUAUUAAAAACACAGCACUGUGCAAACACGAAAGUGGACGUAUACGGUGUGACGCCUGCCCGGUGCCGGAAGGUUAAUUGAUGGGGUCAGCGCAAGCGAAGCUCCUGAUCGAAGCCCCGGUAAACGGCGGCCGUAACUAUAACGGUCCUAAGGUAGCGAAAUUCCUUGUCGGGUAAGUUCCGACCUGCACGAAUGGCGUAAUGAUGGCCAGGCUGUCUCCACCCGAGACUCAGUGAAAUUGAACUCGCUGUGAAGAUGCAGUGUACCCGCGGCAAGACGGAAAGACCCCGUGAACCUUUACUAUAGCUUGACACUGAACAUUGAGCCUUGAUGUGUAGGAUAGGUGGGAGGCUUUGAAGCGUGGACGCCAGUCUGCGUGGAGCCGACCUUGAAAUACCACCCUUUAAUGUUUGAUGUUCUAACGUGGACCCGUAAUCCGGGUUGCGGACAGUGUCUGGUGGGUAGUUUGACUGGGGCGGUCUCCUCCUAAAGAGUAACGGAGGAGCACGAAGGUUGGCUAAUCCUGGUCGGACAUCAGGAGGUUAGUGCAAUGGCAUAAGCCAGCUUGACUGCGAGCGUGACGGCGCGAGCAGGUGCGAAAGCAGGUCAUAGUGAUCCGGUGGUUCUGAAUGGAAGGGCCAUCGCUCAACGGAUAAAAGGUACUCCGGGGAUAACAGGCUGAUACCGCCCAAGAGUUCAUAUCGACGGCGGUGUUUGGCACCUCGAUGUCGGCUCAUCACAUCCUGGGGCUGAAGUAGGUCCCAAGGGUAUGGCUGUUCGCCAUUUAAAGUGGUACGCGAGCUGGGUUUAGAACGUCGUGAGACAGUUCGGUCCCUAUCUGCCGUGGGCGCUGGAGAACUGAGGGGGGCUGCUCCUAGUACGAGAGGACCGGAGUGGACGCAUCACUGGUGUUCGGGUUGUCAUGCCAAUGGCACUGCCCGGUAGCUAAAUGCGGAAGAGAUAAGUGCUGAAAGCAUCUAAGCACGAAACUUGCCCCGAGAUGAGUUCU
Molecule: ribosomal RNA, 1551 nt
Filed under: Salmonella enterica
Lineage: Bacteria; Pseudomonadati; Pseudomonadota; Gammaproteobacteria; Enterobacterales; Enterobacteriaceae
Also listed under: 1 other name
Description: bacterial LSU rRNA
Rfam family: Bacterial large subunit ribosomal RNA
Source: RNAcentral